UUCUCGAGACGGAGACGCACCGGAAGCCGACGGGAGCGCACGUACCACGCCCGCUGCCGCUGCCGCUCAGAUAAGCUUCCGCCUCCACCUCUCCUCCCACAGCUCGCCGCCGCCUCACCCCGGGACCAGCCCAGACGAGCUAGCCAUGGCCGUUCUCCUCCGUACCACCACCUGCGCCACCGCCACGACCACCGGCUCCUCCUCGACCCUCCUCGCCACAACUUUCCGCCGCGGCCGCCGCCUCCUCCCGGCUCGCGCUUCGCCGGCGCGCCGCGUCUUCGCUGCCCGCGCCUCGGCCGAGCCGCUCGAGGUCUGCGCCAAGGCCUCCAUCACCGUCCCCGACCGCCUCGGCGACUGUCCAUUCACGCAGAGAGUUUUGUUGACAAUUGAGGAGAAAAACCUGCCGUAUGCUUUAAAACUAGUCGAUCUCGCUAACAAACCUGAUUGGUUGUUAAAAAUUAACCCAGAAGGUAAGGUGCCCAUUGUAAAGCUUGAGGACAAAUGGGUCGCUGAUUCCGAUGUUAUAACACAAGUACUAGAAGAAAAGUAUCCUCAACCAUCCUUGGCUACCCCGCCAGAAAAGGCUUCAGUAGGGUCAAAAAUAUUCUCCACCUUUAUUGGUUUUCUCAAGAGCAAAGACACCAACGAUGGAACAGAGCAGGCACUUCUUAGCGAGCUAACAUCAUUCGACAGUCAUCUAAAAGACAAUGGACCAUUUAUUAAUGGUGAAGCAAUUUCUGGAGCUGAUCUCUCUCUCGCUCCGAAAUUGUAUCACAUGGAGAUUGCUCUAGGCCACUAUAAGAAUUGGUCUGUCCCAGAUUCACUUGCAAAUGUGAAAGCAUACAUGAAGACUGUUUUCGCAAUGGAUUCAUUUGUGAACACUCGGGCUCUGCCAGAGGAUGUCAUUGCUGGAUGGCGCCCAAAAGUCAUGGGUUAAGUUACAGAUGUAAAUAUAAUUACUGGGAAAAGGUGCCCCAUUAAAUGGUUCUGAUUUUUCUCCAUUCCCCAUUUAUGAAAAACUGGGAUGUUGGUUUAAGAGAUUUAUAUGACCAUGAAAAUGGGCGUGGUCAUGACAAGGAGAGAGAUUGCUAUCAGAAGAUCUCUGAGGAGGUUCCCAAUUUUUUUUCCUUGUAUAUGAGUGAGCCACGGGCAUUUACCGAAAAUUUUCAUUGUAAAGCUUUGAAUGGUAUAUAAUUGUAACUUGUCACGGAGCCCAUUUUGUUUAAAUGUAUAAAUAAACAGGCAUGCCUGUCUCCAUUGUCUCA
Molecule: RNA transcript, 1265 nt
Organism: Lolium perenne
Lineage: Eukaryota; Viridiplantae; Streptophyta; Magnoliopsida; Poales; Poaceae
Gene name: probable glutathione S-transferase DHAR2, chloroplastic
Source: RefSeq, a predicted model, not a curated record